CUUUAACUGACGCUGAGGCUCGAAAGCGUGGGGAGCAAACAGGAUUAGAUACCCUGGUAGUCCACGCCGUAAACGAUGAUUACUAGGUGUGGGGGGACUGACCCCUUCCGUGCCGCAGUUAACACAAUAAGUAAUCCACCUGGGGAGUACGACCGCAAGGUUGAAACUCAAAGGAAUUGACGGGGGCCCGCACAAGCAGUGGAGUAUGUGGUUUAAUUCGAAGCAACGCGAAGAACCUUACCAGGUCUUGACAUCGUGAGCAUAGCUUAGAGAUAAGUGAAAUCCCUUCGGGGACUCAUAGACAGGUGGUGCAUGGUUGUCGUCAGCUCGUGUCGUGAGAUGUUGGGUUAAGUCCCGCAACGAGCGCAACCCUUACUGUUAGUUGCUACGCAAGAGCACUCUAGCAGGACUGCCGUUGACAAAACGGAGGAAGGUGGGGAUGACGUCAAAUCAUCAUGCCCCUUAUGACCUGGGCUACACACGUACUACAAUGGCUGUAAACAGAGGGAAGCAAAGCAGUGAUGCAGAGCAAAACCCUAAAAGCAGUCUUAGUUCGGAUUGUAGGCUGCAACCCGCCUACAUGAAGUCGGAAUUGCUAGU
RNAcentral lists this ribosomal RNA (600 nucleotides) under uncultured bacterium. Its description in RNAcentral is "bacterial SSU rRNA". It matches the Rfam family "Bacterial small subunit ribosomal RNA", at positions 734 to 1339 of the family's 1533-position model. The record is from RNAcentral.